CCUACGGGAGGCAGCAGUGAGGAAUAUUGGUCAAUGGGCGAGAGCCUGAACCAGCCAAGUCGCGUGAGGGAGUACUGCCCUAUGGGUUGUAAACCUCUUUUGUCGGGGAGCAAAAGCCGGACGUGUCCGGCUGUGAGAGUACCCGAAGAAAAAGCAUCGGCUAACUCCGUGCCAGCAGCCGCGGUAAUACGGAGGAUGCGAGCGUUAUCCGGAUUUAUUGGGUUUAAAGGGUGCGCAGGCGGAUGUGUAAGUCAGCGGUAAAAUCGUGGGGCUCAACCCCAUCCAGCCGUUGAAACUGGGGAUCUAGAGUGUGCGAGAGGUAGGCGGAAUGCGUGGUGUAGCGGUGAAAUGCAUAGAUAUCACGCAGAACCCCGAUUGCGAAGGCAGCAUACCGGUGCGCAACUGACGCUCAGGCACGAAAGCGUGGGUAUCGAACAGGAUUAGAUACCCGAGUAGUC
Molecule: ribosomal RNA, 458 nt
Filed under: uncultured bacterium
Lineage: Bacteria
Description: partial 16S ribosomal RNA
Rfam family: Bacterial small subunit ribosomal RNA
Source: RNAcentral